AAGAGCUGAAUUUGUUUAUGGAAAAGACCGAAGCAGAAGAGGAUGUGGGCGUUAAAUGGGAGUUACCCACAAUCAGCAUAAGGCUGACUUUAUUUCAGUCUUUUAAUGGCACUACCUAUACUUUAGGGCUGGGCAAUGUGAUUAUAUGAUAAAAAUAUACUUUUCUGAGAGCAUCAUGAGUACUUUUAUAACACUCCCUCCACUGUUACUGCAGGUAGCAAUAGUAAGACUGAAUGGCAGUUGAAUUAUAUUUAGGGGCCAUGCACAGAAGGUGUAUAGACACCCUAUUGUUAUUCUACCUUUUCUUCUGCUGCUGCUGCUUCUUGUUCGUCUUCUGGCUAGAGUGUCAAAGGGAGCCCAGCUGGUAAAAAGUUGUGAAAUUUGGUACACAGAUUGGGGAGGGUCUAAGGAACAUUCUGACCAAAUUUGGGCCAGUGCUCUAGCACCACCGUUGGGUCAAAUUUGGGCCUAAUUUGAAGUAUGUUUAUGGUCAUAAUUUUUGAAUUGUGUGUCUAAAAUUUAAAAGCCUCACAAUCAUCACCAAAUUUGGCACACGUCAUCACAAGCCUCACAAAAGUUAUACUCCAAACAGUUUGUCUGUGAUGGACCGAAGAAUCUGAUGUCAAACUGAAUUCCAGCAAUGACUUUGUGCACUGACAGAAAACAUGGUAGGCAUCUUCAGGACCAUGACCUGAGGUUAUGCAACAAAUUUUGUGACAGCAUCACUUGCUGGUCAAAAGUUACAAUAACAUGCAGAAAAUGGUUCCAUCUAUGUGCUAUGUUUUGCUACUCCUUCUCCAAAAUUUGUUGUUGGCUUUAUCAUGCACUUUUCAAAUGUAGCACAACUGUGUUCCUGAUACAUUGUUAGCAAACCUAAAUAAGGUGAUACAUACCAUGUAUCAUAAAAAUGUAUUGACACAUGAUAUUUUUGCCUUAAACCACAGCACUACUGAAUUCUUGAUUCUGAUUGGUCAGAAAGUGUUGAUUUUGUUUUCUAUAACAGCAGGUCUGAUGGUAGUUCUAGCUGUAAUUCAAAUCACAGUUUUACUCUAUAAUAAUGCACAUAAUAAUGGACUCAUUCUAGGAAAUUCCACCUAAUCUAAGAGUAAAAAUAGAUUUUAACGGAUUUAAAAUGUGAUGUUAUUUAACAAAGAAUGAUGUAUAAUUGUUGAUGUGGUUCAGCUUUCUGUAAGGAUUCGUUAUUUUUAAAAACACUUUUUGUUUCAGCACUGUGUAACAGUCAGAGGUGAAGCUGUUAAAGGUUGAAGGUUUCCACCAAAAUAAAAGUCUUCAGGACAAGCUACAUUUAUUAAUCCUAUUAACUUCUAUAGAAAGUUUGUAGCUGCUAUAACAUUAGUGAUAACAGUAACUAACUUGUUUCAUGGAUGACAACAUUAUUUAUAAAUGGAUUAAUAGUAUGAUGUGUCAAUAUGGCCAAAAGUUUGUGAACACCUGACUUUUGCAUCCUUAUAUGGCUCUUCCACAAACUGUUGGCAAAAUGUUUUAAGCAAGCAAUUGCAUAGACUGUCUUAGUAUGCUGUAGCGUUUCAAUUUCCCUUCACUGGAACUAAGAGGCACAAACCUGUUCCAACAUGACAAUGCCCCUGUGCCCAAAGCGAGCUCCAUGAAGACAUGCUUUGCCAAGGUUGGAGUGGAAGAACUCAAGUAUUCUGCACAAAGCCCUAACCUCAACCCCACAGAACACCUUUGGGAUGAACUGGAACACCGACUGCACCCCAGACAUCCUCACCCUACAUCAUUGCCCGACCCCACUAAUGCUCUUGUAGCUGAAUGAACACAAAUCCCCACAGCCACGCCCCAAAAUCUUGAGGAAAGCCAAGAUCAGUAAAAGCGGACCAAAUCUGGAACAAGAAGUUCAACAAGCACAUAUGGGUGUGAUGGUUAGAUGUCCCCAAACUUUUGGCCAUAAAGUGUAUAUGGCAUGACAAAAAUAAAACAAUUUUGUGAGAGCAAGACAUUGAGAUACGGUCAGUUUUAGUCAAUUCUCAAACCUCUAUCUAUUGCUUUUAUCGCUCUUUAAAAUAAUAUAUUCUUGAGUAAUUGGUAUCAGUUAGUCUGAUGAUGUUUCCUAAUGAUUUAAAACUUUAGUAACAAUCCAGAUUGUUUAAUAAGCAGCGAUCAUGAGUAAUUUAAUCUCACACUGCUGCUGUGUACAAACAGGCUAAUGGGUUUAAUUAAAGUGUAGAAUAACGCCAAAGGGCUCUUAAGUGAAAUUAGUCUGUCUGAAUCCAGCACAAACGCAGUUCAUGGGAGAGUGAAAGAAGGGCGAUGAGAACAGAUUCCCCACAUCACGGCGGUUAUUUAACACAAAACACACCCUUUCCCGGGAAAAACCCACCUACUCGAAUCCUGACGCAACAUUUAACCACAGAUUACCACAGUUUACACAGGAAAAUUAGGAGAUCCUAAGUAGAUCCUCAGUUAUGUCUAGACUGCGCCCACAAAUCCACCACCCAGGCAGAAAGAAAAAACAACAACAGAAUUUUACCACAAAACCCCUAGUGUGUAUUGGUGAACAGGAUGGCUCCAUGCUAACAGCAUGAGUGAUUAAAGACAUACACUGAAUAUAAAAAGCAGUGUUGGGGAGCUACUUUGAAACUGUAGCUUUUCAAGCUUCAAGCUACUCAUAGCUUGAAGUAGUUAAGCUACACUCCAGCUACCUUUUUUAAAUUGAAGCUACUUAAAUGGGCGAUAUUUUUAGUAUGUCAUGAUUGUGAAUCAGCUUAUGAAUGUAUAAUUGCAUAAAUAAAUUAAACACAAAUAUAAGAUAAUUCAGAAGAGUUAUGAAUUUAAUAGUCUUGUUUUUAUUUAUAGACCAUCCAUAGAUAUAAAUAAUAGUCAAACUGUAUAUUGAUAAUAAUAUGACUACUACUACUACAACUACUACUACUACUAAUAAUAAUAAUAAUAAUACAAUAUCAAUAAAAUGAAUAAUAUUAUUUGUAAUAACAAUAAUAAUAAUAUAAUGUAAUAAAAUCCAGAAAUAUAGUCUACUCAUUUUAAAUAAUGUGUACAUUAGGCUACUUAUCAAUUUAAAAUGACAAUCGCACUCACCUCUACGUGGUGAAAUUUGACCUUUAACCCUUGGACAUCGACGUUAUUUUAAUGGCACAUGAACUUCAACAAAUGAAGCCACAGGUAAUUGGUUUUCUCAUUUUCUAAAUCAGUGGCCAUGUUCUGCUCCAUCAUGGAUAAUAAGGAUGAGAGUGUCGAACUUGAACAGUCAAUACUUCCGAUAGGUUAAUAAUAACACAUGAAACGAUACACUGUUAUUAUUUUUCAACCACUGAUUAAUUAAUUAGUCAUGGAAAUAAUAAUAAAUAUAAAUAAGUUAAGAUAGGAACUUUUUCUCUUGCGGCUCCCUUAAACAUGAUGUUGAGAAAUACGAUCAGACUGCCACUCAGACACAUUUUGGCUUCAUCCACCCGUAUAUACAGUCAUUACCAGGCGUUAUCCUGUGCUUUUGUUAUUGGAUGACCUGUUUAUCAAUAUAUACAUGCUCUUUGGUAUUCUGCCGUGCAAUAAUUUAAAGACCUGCAGUUGAGCAACACUAAACUGGAAGCUAGAAAGGUUCCCUUAUCCUUAAAGUGUCAGUGCAAAUAUCAGACACUAAACUUUUCAUAACUGAUGAAUUAUAUUCAGGCUAAGGGGGAGCAGGUAUCAUUUCUUUUAGUUGUACAAUUCCUGUUACUUUAAGACAAGCUGAUUCUAGCUUCUGGAGUAGAUCAUUUCUUGCGUACUACUAAAUAUGUGAAAUUGUUUACAUGCCGAUCCCGAGAUCAUAGCACGUUAAUAACUGAUCCACUCCUUAGCCAGAGGGUGUGUGUGUGUGUGUGUGUGUGUGUGUGUGUGUGUGUGUGUGUGUGUGUGGAUAAAUCAGUUUCACCACGCAACACAAAUGUGUCAGUGUGAAAGAUGAGCAACAAACAAGGAAUGGAAUACAACAAACAAGGAAUGGAUGGGACUGUGUGUGUGUGUGUGUGUGUGUGUGUGUGUGUGUGUGUGUGUGUGUGUGUGUGAGAUCUAUGGCCUAUUUCCUUUAAAGUCAAAACCACCGGGAUUUUAGAGUCCUGUAUUAGCGCGCACACACACACACACACACUGAUAGACAGUUCACAAACUGGGCAAAAGACUUACAAUGGUUCAGGGUAGUCCUACAUUCAACAUGUGCUGAUAGUAGAGUACAGUUUGAGCGCCUACUACAGCUGUGUAGUGAGGUACAGUACAGCGUGUACAGCUGUGUAGUGAGGUAUAGUACAGCGUGUACAGCUGUGUAGUGAGGUAUAGUACAGCGUGUACAGCUGUGUAGUGAGGUAUUAUACAGUGUGUACAGCUGUGUAGUGAGGUAUAGUACAGUGUGCACAGCUGUGUAGUGAGGUAUAGUACAGCUGCGUAGUGAGGUAUUAUACAGUGUACAGCUGUGUAGUGAGGUUUAGUACAGUGUGCACAGCUGUGUAGUGAGGUAUAGUACAGCGUGUACAGCUGUGUAGUGAGGUACAGUACAGCGUGUACAGCUGUGUAGUGAGGUAUAGUACAAUGAGGUAUUUGUAUUCUUCUACAGGGAUUUAGUUUUUGCUAUGUCUUUGUUCCACUUUUUAAAUGUUUUUCCAGUUUAGUUUUGUUGGCCUUUCCAGACUUUAUAUGUUCAGUUUUCCUGCCCAUUUUAUUUUCAGACCAUUACCAAUAUCAUGACAUGGGGAAAAAUAAAAUGCGCUAAACAAUACAAAUUUUCAGUAUCAACACAAUAUAUCAAAAGACAGCAGGUUUUAAAAUUUGCUAUCUUGGGUCUCUUACUGGAACAACUGUAAGAACAUACAAAACUUUCCCAAAAUCUCUUCUGGGUUUCCAUACUUUCGAAACUGGCCUGGCAAAUGACUGCCUUUAUAUUUAUUACCUUUCCAGACUUUCCAGAACUGUGCAAGAGUCGGGUUCGAGUUAUUAUAUGAGAGUUUCACAAGCAUUCAUAAAUACAUAGUAAAUACAAUUAUCUCUCAAAUAUUCUACAAUGAUAAUAUUAUCAAGCAGAACAAAGAUAAUUAGUCUAAUAAUUAUUGCAUUAAGACACAGACAAAGUCUUAAAACACAGUGUAGAGCUUAUGUUAGAGCUUAACGGUGCUCAAAUCCCACAUUUUUUAGCUUGGGUUAAACAGCAUUGUGUUUUUAUUACACCAGAAGCUUUACGACUGCUGUCUGCAAUGUCAACUUUCCACAUUCUGCAGGUGAGGUAGUGUUUCACCAUAAACACUGAUGCCCUGAUAAACAGGGCUGUCAGUUCAUUUAUGACAAAGAUUGGUAGACUAGGAAAUGUCAGCUCAGUGGAUACACACUUAGAUAUGGUAUACACUGAACUAGCAGUUUAUUGUGUAAAAAAAAAAAAAAAAAAAAAAAAAACAAUGUUGGUUACUCUCAUGCUGCCUUCAAGUGCAACCAGAAUUGUGGUACAUAUGAGUUUCUGAACAUUUGGUACGAGUUUAUGAAGCUUCAGGAAUUAUUUUGAUACCCAACUUUCCAAACUAUUGACAUUUACAGCAUUUGGCAGAUGCCCUUAUCCAGAACAACUUACAAUGAUCUAAUAUUUUAUAUAACUGAGCGGUUAAGGGUUAAGGACCUUGCUCAAGGGCCCAGCAGUAGCAGCUUGGUGGUGCUGGGAUUUGGACUAACAACCUUCCGAUCAGACAUCAAAUGUCCUAACCACUGACCACUUCCUAGCAGGCAAAGAUUGAGUAAUUGUUUCUUUUUCUAAAUACACUUUACAUCUACUAGUCACAACUUGAAGCAUUAAAACCAGCGUCCAUCUUUAACCACAGGUUUCAGUUUGUAUGUUUAUAUAACUGGGGGACGUUAGAAAGCGAUCAAACAUUAGCAGCAUGAAAAGGGAAUUAUCUCAAAAUAAUAAUAAUAAUAUGAACAGGCCUCAUCAGCAUUUAAUGUGUUAGCCAGACAGCCAGAUAAAAACAUGCCAAAUUGCACGUCACUAAUCUACUCUGUAGUCCAAUCAGCUGCCAAAAACCAAACCCUUUUACAUGAAAUAACCUGGGUCUGUUGAUCUGGCAAUAUACAGCAAGUUAAAGAAAUACUUUGUUUUGUAUUUUUAAAUCAUUUCUGAAGAGUAUGCUCUAUAAAAUGGGAUAUUUUGUUCUGUGACCUUAAAGGCACUCAGGACAGUCGCAGGUGUGUUUGCUUUUCCUGACUACUGAUUAUCAGGAAUAAUCACUCAGUUUGUGGACGUUUGAGGCUAAACGCACCGCGCGCACACACACACACACAGAGAGAGAGAAAGAGAGAGAGAGAGAGAGAGAGAGAGAGAGAGAGAGAGAGAGAGAGAUUCCUGAAGCUUACUCCCCCGUUUCUUCUAGCUCUAAUUCACUAAAACAAUACUAUCACAUGAUAAUAGGAGCUCAGGAUAUUAAGAGAAAAUCUGAGGCCAGUUACCUGUGUAGAAUAUUUUAAAUAUCAGUCAGUAAAUGUCAGUUUAUGGGAAAUGGAAACAUAAUGAAUACUAAGCAUGAAAGAUCAAACACAACGCUCUUCCAGACAAUAGGUGUGUGUGUGUGUGUGUGUGUGUGUGUGUGUGUAAGAAAGUGCAGGUUAUUCCUAUUAUAGUGCAUUAGGCUUAAUUAGUUUAUGACCUUGUUUUAAUCUGUGACAGUGUACAUUAAGAUUACACAGUAACACAACAACUGGAACACUUUCUCAAACUCCCAACACACUUCUUCAGAAAUAAAUGAGUGGUCGAUUUGAAUAACAUUCAACGACUAUUCGGUGAUUGGAAUAACAACUUGACAGUCCGAUGCAUUUUAUAUAUCUGUAUCUGUAUGUCUAAUUCUAAUCCGAUCUGCAUUAUGCAUUGUGCAAUGAAACAAAAGCUUGACUAAUCCCACUGAACUCACCAUCAGUAUCUUCCCCAGAAACUUCCCCGAGCUCCACUUCCGAUUCAUUUGCCUACAUAAACCCGAUCAUACACAGCUCCAAACGCAGUGUCGGAUCUGAUCUGAUCUGCUCUGAUCUCAGAGACUCUGUGUCAUCUGACGGAGGGAAGUUUACAGUACGAGCGAGGAAAGCUGCCUCCUGUCUG
This is a long non-coding RNA of Ictalurus punctatus (channel catfish), 7096 nucleotides long. NCBI's taxonomy places the organism in Eukaryota, Metazoa, Chordata, Actinopteri, Siluriformes, Ictaluridae. The record is from Ensembl.